This 733-nucleotide ribosomal RNA is filed under the name Listeria innocua. Its description in RNAcentral is "partial 23S ribosomal RNA". It matches the Rfam family "Bacterial large subunit ribosomal RNA", at positions 1 to 728 of the family's 2925-position model. The record is from RNAcentral. Lineage: Bacteria; Bacillati; Bacillota; Bacilli; Caryophanales; Listeriaceae.
UUGGUUAAGUUAGAAAGGGCGCACGGUGGAUGCCUUGGCACUAGGAGCCGAAGAAGGACGGGACUAACACCGAUAUGCUUUGGGGAGCUGUACGUAAGCGUUGAUCCAGAGAUUUCCGAAUGGGGGAACCCACUAUCUUUAGUCGGAUAGUAUCCUUACGUGAAUACAUAGCGUGAGGAAGGCAGACCCAGGGAACUGAAACAUCUAAGUACCUGGAGGAAGAGAAAGAAAAAUCGAUUUCCUGAGUAGCGGCGAGCGAAACGGAAAGAGCCCAAACCAAGAAGCUUGCUUCUUGGGGUUGUAGGACACUCUAUACGGAGUUACAAAAGAAAGUUAUAAAUGAAGCGGUCUGGAAAGGCCCGCCAAAGACGGUAACAGCCCGGUAGUUGAAAUGGCUUUCCCUCCAGAGUGGAUCCUGAGUACGGCGGAACACGUGAAAUUCCGUCGGAAUCCGGGAGGACCAUCUCCCAAGGCUAAAUACUCCCUAGUGACCGAUAGUGAACCAGUACCGUGAGGGAAAGGUGAAAAGCACCCCGGAAGGGGAGUGAAACAGUUCCUGAAACCGUGUGCCUACAAGUAGUUAGAGCCCGUUAAUGGGUGAUAGCGUGCCUUUUGUAGAAUGAACCGGCGAGUUACGAUUUGUUGCAAGGUUAAGCGGAAAAAGCGGAGCCGUAGCGAAAGCGAGUCUGAAUAGGGCGCAUAAGUAACAGGUCGUAGACCCGAAACCAGGUGA